AGACUCGUGGCAGUAGCUCAGUACCAGUGGCCAAACUACCCUAUAGAUCGGCCAACCUCGGGAAACUGAGCUAUCCGGAUAACGCUUUCAGCUUGAGUGGCGAGAGCUGAAACGUUCAGCGCUACAGAAUGUGGCUGCGGCCGAUUAGUAGACGGUGGGGUAACGGCCCACCGUGCCAGUAAUCGGUACGGGUUUGAGAGCAAGAGCCCGGAGACGGUAUUUGAGACAAGAUUCCGGGCCCUACGGGGGCAGCAGGCGCGGAACCUUUACCAUGCACGCGAGUGCGAUAAGGGGACUUCAGGUGCGAGGGCAUAUCGUUCUUGCUUUUCUCGGCCGUAGGGAGGUUGAGGGACUAGUUCUUGGCAAGGCCGGUGCCAACCGGCGCCGUAAUUCCGGCAGCACAGAUGAUGGCCGGUGAUAAUGGGCCUUAAGCGUCCGUAGCUGGCCCGACAAGUUCAUUGGGAAAUUUGUGAGCCUAACGCACAGGCGUUCGGUGGAAACUGCCUGGCUUGGGACCGGAAGGCUCGAGGGGUAAGUUUGGGGUUGGAAUGAAAUUCCGUAAUUCUGGGCGGGCCCCCGGUGGCGAAAGCGCCUCUGGAAGGCGGAUUCGGCGGUGAAGGAAGAAAGCUCGGGUCCCGGACCGGAUUAGAUUCCCGGGUAGUUCGAGCUGUUAACGAUGUUUGGUAGGUGUGACACCGGCUUCGAACCUGUGUUGUUCCGUAGGGAAACCGUGAAGCCGGCCGCCUGGGAAGUACGUUCGCAAGGAUGGAACUUAAAGGAAUUGGCGGGGGAACCAUACCACCGGAAGAACCUGCGGUUUAAUUGGACUUAACGCCGGACAUUUUCCCAGCAUUGGCCGUGAGCAGUGACGGUCAGUGUGAUGAGCUUACUUGAGCCACUGAGAGGAGGUGCAUGGCCGCCGUCAGCUCGUACCGUGAGGCGUCCUGUUAAGUCAGGCAACGAGCGAGACCCGCACCCUUAAUUGCCAGCAACACCCUUGUGGUGGUUGGGUACAUUAGGAGGACUGCCAGUGCCAAACUGGAGGAAGGAACGGGCAACGGUAGGUCAGUAUGCCCCGAAUGUGCUGGGCGACACGCGGGCUACAAUGGUCGAGACAGUGGGAUGCCACCCCGAAAGGGGACGCUAAUCUCCGAAACUCGAUCGUAGUUCGGAUUGAGGGCUGAAACUCGCCCUCAUGAAGCUGGAUUCGGUAGUAAUCGCGCCUCAGAAGGGCGCGGU
Molecule: ribosomal RNA, 1239 nt
Filed under: Natrialba aegyptia
Lineage: Archaea; Methanobacteriati; Methanobacteriota; Halobacteria; Halobacteriales; Natrialbaceae
Description: bacterial SSU rRNA
Rfam family: Archaeal small subunit ribosomal RNA
Source: RNAcentral